GGGUCUGGGCGCGGCCUCAGGACGUGGGCACGUUGUCGUCCAGAGAGCAAGAGCGUCGCUCCCCCUCGCCUUCUCGGCCGCCCUCCGGCCUUACCGCCCCCUGUGUCCAGAGAUCUCCAGAUGGAGAGACAUUUUGCCACACGAUGAAUCACACACCACACCUCAUCCCCGAGCUUCAGCUGCAGGACAAUGCCGCCAGAGGCCUGGUCCUCAGAGCUCAUGUAAGCGUCUUUGGUGUGCAGUAUUUUUACUCCAUUUUUGACCAAAGACACCUGAACAUUCCUGGAGAAAACAGUGAUGUGGAUCUUAUCAAAUUUAAUGGGCACAUCUGAAGAAGGAAACUUGCUCAGCACCGUGAGCCCCACAGUGAAAGCACUUUUUGGCAAGACUAGAGUCUCACCGAUUUUCCCUUUCUCUCCUCGAUCUCCUUUCCAGCCUCUUAUUCCCCGGACUCCUGGCUCACCCUGGAGCCCCAUGGGUCCAGCUUCUCCCUUGGGACCAGGCUUUCCAAUAGGGCCCAUGGGGCCCGGUAAACCAGUUGGGCCCAAAGGCCCAAUGUUGCCCCUUGGCCCCUCAGGACCAGUAGGACCCACGUCACCCUUAUUCCCCUUCUGCCCCUGAGGCCCAGUCUCUCCUCGGAGGCCUUUCUCUCCCAUGGGCCCUGCAAGCCCCUUGGGGCCAUGUUUUCCUGGAGAUCCUCUUGAGCCUGGAUCACCUUUGAUGCCUUUUGCUUCAACUUUUCCAUCUGCUCCUAAAUAGAGAAAGAGCAAAUAAAGAGAUAGUUUGUGAAAGA
Long non-coding RNA from Pongo pygmaeus (Bornean orangutan), 793 nucleotides. RefSeq lists it as uncharacterized. The record is from RefSeq and is a predicted model, not a curated record. NCBI's taxonomy places the organism in Eukaryota, Metazoa, Chordata, Mammalia, Primates, Hominidae. The transcript has 4 exons.